RNAcentral lists this long non-coding RNA (283 nucleotides) under Erythranthe guttata (spotted monkey flower). RNAcentral describes it as "long non-coding RNA (EGUT_LNC000592)". The record is from RNAcentral. Lineage: Eukaryota; Viridiplantae; Streptophyta; Magnoliopsida; Lamiales; Phrymaceae.
UAUGGCCAUGAAUAUGGAUGAUUCAGCGAAUUUGAGUGAGAGCAUGAAUCAACAGAAGCACAUUCUUGAUAGUCAUUAUGUUUCCUUUUUUGGAGCACGUUGUUGGAUUUCUCGUCGUUAGAACUAUUAUUGUUUAUUUCUCGGGUGACACGAGUAGUAGGUGGUCUAUACGAUUCAUUGUCCUCGUCAGAUGACACCACAAUUAGUUCAUGUUCGGUUUGGACUCCCAUAACAUCUGCUAGAUUGAAAAUAGUUUCUAGCGAUUCCCACUCAGAUUCUCCCU